Non-coding RNA from Ictidomys tridecemlineatus (thirteen-lined ground squirrel), 1709 nucleotides. The record is from RefSeq and is a predicted model, not a curated record. Lineage: Eukaryota; Metazoa; Chordata; Mammalia; Rodentia; Sciuridae.
UACAUUCCAAACAGUUUUGGAAGGGGCAAACAUCCAAGCCACAGCAAGACUCGACUUCAUACAAGCAUCAUGAUCCUAGAAUGGACGUCUCUACACGCCAAUGUGUCAGAGCACCUGAGCAUGCCCCGAACAGAGUCUCAGAUGCCAUUAGAAUAAGAGAAGAAGAAGAAAGGAGGAGGAGGGGGAGGAGAAGAAGAAGAAGAUGAUGAUGAUUAAGAUUUUAAACCGUCACGUGGUGUUUCUCUUGAAGCAUGAGCUGUGGGAGGAACCCAGGCCAAGAGGAUGACAGAGUGAGGUAUUUUUCCUUUCCACUCUUCCUGCACAAAACCAGCACUGGGCUCCGGCAUUCCUGCUCCACCCACCUGAGCCUGAGGAAGCCUCCUGCCUGGUUUUGGGGCCAGUGCUUUUCCGCCUGGCCUGCCCCGCCAGGGCCCUGACAGGGUGCUGUUUCCUCUGUGCCUGCUGCUAUCAGCCAGCCGCCCCACAUGGCUCCCUGCUGCUGGCCUCAGGUUUCCUGGGCUGGGUCAUCCUGCCAGCGUUUUGGCCACAUAUCUCCCUCUUGUACCUGAAAAUCCCUUUCAUUCUCUCUCUCCUUCCUCUGCAUCAUUUUAAAUCACAUGGCAAAGUUCUAUUUUUACCUUUUCUUUAAAUACACUUACCCCUGAGCACUCAAUGACUCUCAUUUCUUUCCCUUGACUUUCCAGGUAAAUUCCCACUGGGCGACUAGUUAUUUGUAUUUUAGCAAUCAGCCUCGGGGUUCCUUCCAGCUGCUGCCAUUAAAAGAACUAAAGCAAAACACCAAAAUAAGCCCUAAUGCUACUUUUCUCUGUAGUGUAUCUGAGAACAAUCCAUCAACUGCAGCUGAUAACAAGGCCCCAUACACCCCAUAAUUACAGUUAUGCCUGCUGUAUUUUGGUGCUGGCAAGAAAGGAGAUGGAGUUAACUGAUAAAAUUCUUAUGCAAUUUGAGCAUCUCUCUUUGAAUUUCUUCAUCCACACCAAAAAUUUACCUUUGGUACUAAUUUAAAAAGGAACCUAAGAUGUGAGUCAGGGCACUUUAAUCCUAAAGCACUUCAUAUAUGAUGUAAGUUUAAGAGUUUAAAUUAAAAGCUAGCAUUUAGUGAUUGCUCAGUUUAUAGAAUUGCUUCUUGUAAUCCUUACUAGAACCAGUGCACACAGUGAUUUAGUUGUACACUGCACAAGAGAAGACUGCCACAUCAUGUUCUGCUUUAUUGUCCUGAAGAUUUUUCACAUUUUUAUCAUAACAUAGUUAACUUCAAAGAUGAGUGAGCCACACAUUUAUUAAGGCAGUCUUCUGACAGGUGUUAGUGACAUGUCUUAUUUUAAUAGGAUUGAUACAUAUCACAUUCCUUGUGGACUUACAAGGGAGAAUAUGUUUAUUGAGAUUUUGAUGACCUACCGACAUUCAAAACAACCUGUUUCUAAGUAAGAAGUUGCUUUUCUCACAGUCUUACUAAUUAGUAUCUAAACUUCUUUUUUUAAUCUCUUAUCAGCUCAACACCUUGUGGCCACAUAGUCUGCCACUUGUUAGACUGCAGAGCUCCAUUUCAAACAUACAGGCGCUUUCAUUAUGAUACCAAUGGCUACGGAAUAGCUAAUAUUAAGUUAGCAUUAAUAAUAUACAAAGUAUUAAAUUGACAUAAAUUAAAGAUUACGAUGUAACGAUCUUCUAAUUAUACUAGAGCAUUU